GACACCGUUUCACUCCUGUAUAUAAACCAAUUUUUUUUUUUAAAAAAUUCAUUCUAUUACUCUUUAAAAAAAAACUUUUAAAACCCUCCCCCUUUCUCUGCUAGGGUUUCAAACCCAGUCUUGGCGCCGUCAUCGGUCCGCCACGCGUCUGCCACCGUACACGGUGGUCGGAGUUCCAAAAAGGGGCCCCUUUCAGCCAAUUCGGCCUUCCCAUUCUCGAUCCGAGGGUAAAAUACCCAAAUCCCCACCAAAACUCAAAAAUAAAAGCAGAAAAGAAAGAAAAAUAAAGGGGCUUUUCGGUCCCCUAUCAAUGCCGAUGAUAUUUUCGACGAACUAAAAGGUUCGGUCGCCCUUUUUCCCGGAGGAAAAGCUUUGACUACUGUGAUAAGGGUAACCGAUUUCUUCCCCUUUUUAUUUUUUAUUUUUUUGUUAUUAAUCUUGCUUCGAAAAAAAAAUCUAAUAUAGGGACUAACUUAUGAAAAUUCACUUCCUUUUCUUAUUAUUCAUUGUUUUUGUGUCCAGAAAAAAUUACAAAGUAUUAAUUGAGGCUUUUAUAGCCAAAAUCACAAGAUCCAUUUUUGUUUUUCUGUUUGUUGUCUGCUACUGUUUUUUUGUUUUUUCUGUGUUGUCCCUUUUGUUUGCGUGUUGGCCUUGUUUUGCAGGUGUCAGACGAGUGAAGGUGGCUGACGUGCGGUGGUGGUGGUGCGCGUGAGGAGGCUGACGGCUGAAGAGGGUUAGGGAAGCUAGGUUUUUUUUUUUUGUUUAGUUUAGGUGUUGGGCUGAUUUGGGCUAGGGUUAGAAUUGGGCUAGUAAUUGGGUUUUAAUUUGGGUCAUUUAAUUGAGUAUUGGACUGGUCUGAUUAGGCUUUUUGUUUAUUUAUUUGAGUUUAAUUUUAUAAACUGGGCCAGGCCUAAAUUAGCCUAUUACAAUAUUCAUUGCAUUGAUUGGCUUAAAAAUGCUAUGUGUCUUAUGGAUAUUAAUGGCUUUUCCAGCUUUGUUUAAUUCAGAAGAUAAAUAAAAUGCGUAAUGAAUUCGAGAUGUGGAGAAAGACUACUUCUCACAAAGUGACAUUCUAGAAGGCCUGGUCUUUGCAUAUCGUUACUUGCACAACUUCACUCGUAAUCUAGUUCUUCCAACAAGACCUCGGCAGAUUAGAUGAGCUCUUCUACUUGGUAUUGCUAUUAAGAUUAAUGUGAAUGAUGCAUACUUUGAGAGAGAGAUCACAAUGGUGAAGUGGCCAUGGUAGUGAGAGAUCCGAGGGGGUUUGUUCUGAGGACUUUUCAAUGGAUCUAGUAGAAAUGACGACUUUCAUCAUGACUCUCAAAUUUACUAGGGUAGAGGCCUUUUUAGAUGUCAUGAUCGAAAGUGAAUCCAUAAUCAAUAGGAUUCGUUUAGAUGACACAUACUUAUCGAGGCUUGGUUUUGGUAGCUUAUAGCACUGUUAGUACUUUUACUUUCAGUUCUUUUAAGUGUGUCAGAUGUACUAAUAAUUUUGUUAAUUGUUACACACCACUUAGCUAGUUGGAGCAUAGUUGUAAGGAUGUUUUACAUUUUUUUUUAUUAUCUAGAUGUUAUUCAUUACUUUGUGAUAUAAAUGCUAUAAAUGUACUAAAGAUUAUCUUUUACAUUUACAAAUUCUAUCAGUUUGAUCUUCAAAUUUUCUAACCAAAACUUUCAGCUUUUAAAAUAAAUACAUUCCACGUUUAUAAAUUUGUAACCCC
This 1721-nucleotide long non-coding RNA is filed under the name Gossypium barbadense (sea-island cotton). RNAcentral describes it as "long non-coding RNA (GBAR_LNC008453)". The record is from RNAcentral. Lineage: Eukaryota; Viridiplantae; Streptophyta; Magnoliopsida; Malvales; Malvaceae.